Molecule: non-coding RNA, 78 nt
Organism: Caerostris extrusa
Lineage: Eukaryota; Metazoa; Arthropoda; Arachnida; Araneae; Araneidae
Source: the annotation of a GenBank genome assembly
GGGGGUGUAGCUCAGUGGUAGAGCGCUCGCUUCAAAUGCCAGAGAUGUCCUGGGUUUCAAAAAAUCCCAGCUCCUCCA